This 205-nucleotide ribosomal RNA is filed under the name uncultured Synergistaceae bacterium. RNAcentral describes it as "partial 16S ribosomal RNA". It matches the Rfam family "Bacterial small subunit ribosomal RNA", at positions 1179 to 1382 of the family's 1533-position model. The record is from RNAcentral. Lineage: Bacteria; Thermotogati; Synergistota; Synergistia; Synergistales; Synergistaceae.
AUGACGUCAAGUCAUCAUGGCCCUUAUGUCCAGGGCGACACACGUGCUACAAUGGCCGGCACAACGGGAAGCGAGUUCGCGAGGACGAGCGGAUCCCUUAAAGCCGGUCGCAGUUCGGAUUGAAGUCUGCAACUCGACUUCAUGAAGCUGGAAUCGCUAGUAAUCGUGGAUCAGCCAAGCCGCGGUGAAUACGUUCCCGGGCCUU